GUCUACGGCCGUACCACCCUGAACGCGCCUGAUCUCGGAAGCUAAGCAGGGUUGGGCCUGGUUAGUACUUGGAUGGGAGAGAAGACGAGAUGGCAGAAAAUA
This 102-nucleotide ribosomal RNA is filed under the name Microcebus murinus (gray mouse lemur). The record is from RNAcentral. Lineage: Eukaryota; Metazoa; Chordata; Mammalia; Primates; Cheirogaleidae.